CCUACGGGUGGCUGCAGUGAGGAAUAUUGGUCAAUGGGCGUAAGCCUGAACCAGCCAAGUCGCGUGAGGGAUGAAGGUUCUAUGGAUCGUAAACCUCUUUUAUAAGGGAAUAAAGUGUGGGACGUGUCCUAUUUUGUAUGUACCUUAUGAAUAAGGAUCGGCUAACUCCGUGCCAGCAGCCGCGGUAAUACGGAGGAUCCGAGCGUUAUCCGGAUUUAUUGGGUUUAAAGGGUGCGUAGACGGCCUUUUAAGUCAGCUGUGAAAGUGUGUGGCUCAACCAUAGAAUUGCCGUUGAUACUGGGGGGCUUGAGUAUGGUUGAGGCAGGCGGAAUGCGUGGUGUAGCGGUGAAAUGCUUAGAUAUCACGAAGAACUCCGAUUGCGAAGGCAGCCUGCCAAGCCAUGACUGACGCUGAUGCACGAAAGCGUGGGGAUCAAACAGGAUUAGAUACCCGAGUAGUC
Molecule: ribosomal RNA, 460 nt
Filed under: uncultured bacterium
Lineage: Bacteria
Description: partial 16S ribosomal RNA
Rfam family: Bacterial small subunit ribosomal RNA
Source: RNAcentral